RNAcentral lists this ribosomal RNA (510 nucleotides) under Triticum aestivum (bread wheat). RNAcentral describes it as "partial small subunit ribosomal RNA". Lineage: Eukaryota; Viridiplantae; Streptophyta; Magnoliopsida; Poales; Poaceae. The record is from RNAcentral.
AUGAGUCUACUCGUGUGGAACUGUCGGGGGGUUGGCAAGCCGGCGACAGUUUGAGAGCUUCGUGACCACACGAGGCAAUUUUCCCCCUCUAUUUUAUGCAUCCUUGAAACUCAAAUAGAGGGUAGUAGAGUUGAAAGUCUAGCUGGUACUUUAGGGUACAAUAAAAGUUACGCUGUUAGUAGCUCUGGUAGGAGUGGAGGCCUUGGAAUAUUCUGGAAUGAUGAAAUAAAUAUUGAAGUUUUGGGUUACUCGAAAUAUCACAUUCAUGUGCUUGCUAAUGAACUUGUGGACUUCCCUGCUCGUUUCACCUUUGUCUAUGGUGAAGCGCAAGUGAAUGAGAGGCACUUGACUUGGGAUAUGCUCCGAAGUAUUGUUGGAGCCAAUGACAUUCCAUGGCAGUCAUCGGAGAUUUUAAUGAAGUACUCCAUGGUUAUGAGCAUGAUGGAGUGGGGAACCGGAGUCAGGCGCAGAUGGACGGAUUCCGUGAUGCCCUUGAUACUUGUGGGCUAA